AACCAAGAAAUUCAUUAAAAAUAUAUAAAAAAAUAAAACCGUACUAAAACUGAUACAAGUGGAUAGGUAGAAUAUACUAAGGUGUUUGGAAUAACUAUGUUGAAGGAACUCGGCAAAUUAGCUUUGUAACUUCGGAAGAAGAAGUGUCUUUUUUAUAAAAAAGAUAACAUUAAAGAAGGGGGAACGACUGUUUAACAAAAACACAGGACUCUGCAAAAUUGAAAGAUGACGUAUAGGGUCUGACACCUGCCCGGUGCUAAUUAGUUAAAAGGAUAUGUAUAAGCAUUGAAUAAAAGCGUUAGUAAACGGCGGCCGUAACUCUGACGGUCCAAAGGUAGCGAAAUUCCUUGUCGGGUAAGUUCCGACCUGCACGAAUGGUGUAACCAUGGCCACGCUGUCUCUACCCGAGACUCAGUGAAAUUGAAAUCGCAGUGAAGAUGCUGUGUACCCGCACCUAGACGGAAAGACCCCGUGAACCUUUACUACAGCUUGGCACUGAACAUUGAACCUACUUGUGUAGGAUAGGUGGGAGGCUUCGAAGCAGAGACGCUAGUUUCUGUGGAGCCGUCCUUGAAAUACCACCCUGGUAUGUUUGAUGUUCUAACGUAGGUCCCUAAUCGGGAUUGCGGACAGUGUCUGGUGGGUAGUUUGACUGGGGCGGUCUCCUCCCAAAGAGUAACGGAGGAGCACGAAGGUUAGCUA
RNAcentral lists this ribosomal RNA (702 nucleotides) under Cafeteria roenbergensis. RNAcentral's name for it is "partial Bacterial large subunit ribosomal RNA". It matches the Rfam family "Bacterial large subunit ribosomal RNA", at positions 1606 to 2323 of the family's 2925-position model. Lineage: Eukaryota; Bigyra; Bicosoecida; Cafeteriaceae. The record is from RNAcentral.